CAUCACGCCGCGUGAGGAUGAAGGCUUCGGGUUGUAAACCUCUUUUAGUAGGGAAGAAGCGAAGUGACGGUACCUACAGAAAAAGCACCGGCUAACUACGUGCCAGCAGCCGCGGUAAUACGUAGGGUGCAAGCGUUGUCCGGAAUUAUUGGGCGUAAAGAGCUCGUAGGCGGUUUGUCGCGUCUGCUGUGAAAACCUGAGGCUCAACCUCAGACCUGCAGUGGGUACGGGCAAGCUAGAGUGCGGUAGGGGAGAUGGGAAUUCCUGGUGUAGCGGUGGAAUGCGCAGAUAUCAGGAGGAACACCGAUGGCGAAGGCACAUCUCUGGGCCGUAACUGACGCUGAGGAGCGAAAGCGUGGGGAGCGAACAGGAUUAGAUACCCUGGUAGUCCACGCCGUAAACGGUGGGUGCUAGUUGUGGGUCACAUUCCACGUGAUCCGUGACGAAGUUAACACAUUAAGCACCCCGCCUGGGGAGUACGGUCGCAAGACUAAAACUCAAAGAAAUUGACGGGGGCCCGCACAAGCGGCGGAGCAUGCGGAUUAAUUCGAUGCAACGCGAAGAACCUUACCAAGGCUUGACAUAUAGAGGAAAAGCGUAGAAAUACGCUCCCCGCAAAGUCUCUAUACAGGUGGUGC
This 638-nucleotide ribosomal RNA is filed under the name uncultured bacterium. RNAcentral's name for it is "bacterial SSU rRNA". It matches the Rfam family "Bacterial small subunit ribosomal RNA", at positions 390 to 1044 of the family's 1533-position model. The record is from RNAcentral.